RNAcentral lists this ribosomal RNA (565 nucleotides) under uncultured delta proteobacterium. RNAcentral's name for it is "bacterial SSU rRNA". It matches the Rfam family "Bacterial small subunit ribosomal RNA", at positions 340 to 919 of the family's 1533-position model. Lineage: Bacteria; Deltaproteobacteria. The record is from RNAcentral.
UACGGGAGGCAGCAGUGAGGAAUAUUGGUCAAUGGGCGAAAGCCUGAACCAGCAACGCCGCGUGAGGGAUGAAGGCCUUCGGGUCGUAAACCUCUUUUCUGGGAGAAGAGACAAGGACGGUAUCCCAGGAAUAAGUCUCGGCUAACUACGUGCCAGCAGCCGCGGUAAUACGGGGGGUGCAAGCGUUGUUCGGAAUUAUUGGGCGUAAAGAGCGUGUAGGCGGCCGGAUGUGUCAGAUGUGAAAGCCCUGGGCUUAACCCAGGAAGUGCAUUUGAAACUGUCCGGCUUGAGUAGGGGAGAGGGAAGUGGAAUUCCUGGUGUAGAGGUGAAAUUCGUAGAUAUCAGGAGGAACACCGGUGGCGAAGGCGACUUCCUGGCCCUAUACUGACGCUGAGACGCGAGAGCGUGGGUAGCAAACAGGAUUAGAUACCCUGGUAGUCCACGCCGUAAACGAUGUUCACUAGGUGUUGGGGGUAUUGACCCCCUCAGUGCCGGAGCUAACGCAUUAAGUGAACCGCCUGGGGAGUACGGUCGCAAGACUAAAACUCAAAGGAAUUGACGGGGA